RNAcentral lists this long non-coding RNA (444 nucleotides) under Bos taurus (domestic cattle). Its description in RNAcentral is "long non-coding RNA NONBTAT016423". The record is from RNAcentral. Lineage: Eukaryota; Metazoa; Chordata; Mammalia; Artiodactyla; Bovidae.
GGAGGUACCUUCCACAACUUCUUCCACUCGGUUUCUAAACUUUAAUUCUGUCAAUAGUUAUGUAAAUUUACACAAUCAAGUGAGCUGAAUAAUGCCACAUCUCUAUUUUGACCACACCAUACUUCUUCAUUUGCUUUUUCCAGACAGAACUAAGGGAGGACGUGUGGCUCCCUGUUGCUCAGUUUUCUGUCUUCAUACUCAAAGCUGCUAAGUACCUACACUUCAUUUUAAACAUCUAGGAACAAUGCAGUUGAGAGAGAAUUUCACAACAGUUUUGUCUAUAACAGUCCAAACAGGAAGUUAAUGGGAAUUUAAUUCUCCUGCAUAAGCCCUCACAGGUCUUGCCCCUGUGUUCCUGGAUUAAACAGUGAGACCUGAGGUGUGGGAGAAGGAGCGGGAGGAAGCUGAACUUCCAGACAGCCCCCAAAACCACCCUACCCGGGG